CUUAGAGACGAUGAGGUAGAUAGGGCAGAGGUGGAAGUACGGUAACGUAUGCAGCUGACUGUCACUAAUAGGUCGAAGGCUUAUCCAAA
Molecule: ribosomal RNA, 89 nt
Filed under: Clostridium sp. OM07-10AC
Lineage: Bacteria; Bacillati; Bacillota; Clostridia; Eubacteriales; Clostridiaceae
Also listed under: 1 other name
Description: partial 23S ribosomal RNA
Rfam family: Bacterial large subunit ribosomal RNA
Source: RNAcentral